CGUGGAACCAUAAAGAUCCUAUGUGGAACCAUAAAGAUACCCUGUGGAACCAUAAAUAUACUACGUGGAACCAUAAAUGCACUACGUGAAACCAUAAAAAUUCUACUUAGAACCAUAGAUAUUACGUGGAACCAUAGAUACUAUGUAGAUACAUAAAGAUGCUAUGUGGAACCAUAAAGAUACUACGUGGAACCAUAAAGAUGCUAUGUGGAACCAUAAAAAUACCAGGUGGAACCAUAUCCCAUUUAGACAGCUGUUUUUUUCUAUCAUUUGUGCCACCCGUCCUUAAGCUGCUGAAUAAUGUGACAUAGAACAAUGUGCAAUAAAUUUUAGAGCACUUUACUUGCCAUCUUGGUUGAAUAGGCCUACAUGUAAUUAACAUAAGUACUACACCGUGUAUCUCAGGUUCUUUUAGAAGUUUUUUGUGAUGUGUCCCUUCAGGGACAAUAAAGUUUAACCUAAACUAUAUAAGGACAUUUCUAACACAUCACUAAAAAGUAGUGACACUCUUUCUUUUCAUUGCCAUUAAAAUGUCUUUGAUGACACUUUUAAUUAGACCAGUUGCCACACAUUUGUGACAGAAUGUUUCUUUUGAGGGCUCACUCAAAAACAGCAUCUGUCUGUCAGCAUCUGGGGUGGAGAAAAUAGAGGAAUUAAUUCAGAUUAAAGGUUUAGUUCGUUUAAAGAAGAGACAGGGUACAAGGGUUAGUUUCAGUAGUGGAGUAGAAUCAGCUAUUGAUCUUAUGUUGAUGUCCAAUGAAUCAGCUGGCGGCAGCAACUGAGAGGAGCUAAAUGACAAUAUUAUUGGAAGUGAUCAUUAUCCAACCGCAAUCAGUUCUGAGCUGAAUUUUAUGGUUGAACUUUACGAGGUUACAAGAUGGACUCUAGGUGAGGCAGACUGGAGAUCAUUUACCAGUUCUUGUGAUGAAGAGUUUAAUAAGAUCGUCAUGUCAGGAAAAAUUAAUGAAAGCUUUAUUAAAUACAACAACAAACUGGACUCAGCACAAGAAUAUAAAUGUAACAAGGAUACAGAAGGUGGUGAUAAGAUAAUGAUCCGUCUGGCUGCCAAUUAUCAAGAAGAAGACUUCUUUCCUUCAUCCGGACCUUUACUUUGAAAGCGAGGCCCGGAAGUGUUGUUCCGGUGUGUAGCUUGACGCUAACAGGUGGGAAGAUGUCUGCUUCUUUCAGACUGUUGAAAAGCCGUUUUUCGGCUCUCUGUCCGGUUGGUUUCACUUCACAGCCGCAGAGGAAUCAUCCGGUGAGGUGUCCGGUCGGAGGACGGUGGCUGUCACACACACAGACAGGAGGAAACCUUCGACCACUGGAUGGCGUCAGAGUGUUGGACAUGACGAGAGUCCUGGCCGGUCCCUUCGCCUCCAUGAUCCUGGGAGAUCUGGGAGCUGAGGUGAUUAAAGUAGAGAGACCAGGUGCAGGUGAUGACACCAGAGCCUGGGCUCCUCCGUUUGUCGGCACAGAGAGCGCCUAUUUCCUCAGCAUCAACAGAAACAAGAAGAGUAUUUCUGUGGACCUGAAACAUCCCAGAGGAGCCCACAUCAUCCAGGAGCUUGCAGGAGUGUGUGACGUGCUGGUAGAGAACUACCUCCCAGGGAAGCUUCAGCAGAUGGGUUUAGGAUACGAGCAGCUGAGCAGAGUGAACCCACAACUCAUCUACUGCUCCAUAUCAGGUUACGGGCAGACCGGUCCUCAGUCUCAGAGUCCAGGCUACGACUCCAUCGCCUCGGCCGUGUCGGGGAUGAUGCACAUCACCGGGCCAGAGGACGGCGAGCCGGUGCGUCCCGGCGUCGCCAUGACAGACCUGGCGACGGGGCUGUACGCGCACGGAGCCGUCAUGGCCGCCCUGCUGCAGCGCCACAAGUCGGGGAGGGGAGUUCACAUCGACUGCAACCUGCUGUCUUCACAGGUUUCCUGUCUCAGCCAUAUUGCUGCUAACUAUCUGAACGCAGGGAAGGAGGCGAGGCGCUGGGGGACGGCCCACGAGAGCAUCGUACCUUAUCAGGGCUUCAGAACCAAAGACGGACACGUAGUCGUGGCUGCAGGCAACGACAAACAAUUUGUCAAAGUCUGUCAAGUUCUGGAGCUGACGGAGCUCACAGACGAACCAAAAUAUAAAACCAACAAGCUGAGAGUCCAAAACCGCAAACAGCUGCUGCACACGCUGUCACAGAGGUUUCUGCAGGAGAAGACCGCUGAUUGGCUGAGGAGGUUUGAGGGCUCAGGUGUUCCUGUUGGACCAAUCAACAGCAUCAAGGAAGUCUUCUCUAAUCCGCAGCCUCCGCAUGCAAAUGAAGCAGAGGAGGAGGUGUCUCCGGUCUUAUCGCCACGUGGCUGGUAGACGGAUGAUCAUCAGUGACCAGAACAAACAGCCCCAUGAUGCUUAUUUACUGAGAUGCUGCAGGUGGAAGAGGAGCUGAAGGGAGGCUGGACUCACACACGGCGGCUUUAAAACAUUUACUCAGCUUCAAACUCGGCACACAAACUGUAUGUGACCAUCGGGCAGAGCCAGAGAAAGAGGAACUGACAAAGGCGUAACUUUUUAGAGAAGUGGUGGCGACAAACGGACU
Molecule: RNA transcript, 2582 nt
Organism: Micropterus dolomieu (smallmouth bass)
Lineage: Eukaryota; Metazoa; Chordata; Actinopteri; Centrarchiformes; Centrarchidae
Gene: sugct
Gene name: succinyl-CoA:glutarate-CoA transferase
Exons: 14
Source: RefSeq, a predicted model, not a curated record